Molecule: ribosomal RNA, 424 nt
Filed under: uncultured bacterium
Lineage: Bacteria
Description: bacterial SSU rRNA
Rfam family: Bacterial small subunit ribosomal RNA
Source: RNAcentral
GGGGAAUCUUGCGCAAUGGGCGAAAGCCUGACGCAGCGACGCCGCGUGCGGGAAGAAGGCCUUCGGGUUGUAAACCGCUUUUAGGAGGGACGAAGCCACUCGGGUUAAUAGCCCAGAGGGUGACGGUACCUCCAGAAGAAGCCCCGGCUCACUACGUGCCAGCAGCCGCGGUAAUACGUAGGGGGCAAGCGUUGUCCGGAUUUAUUGGGCGUAAAGAGCGAGUAGGCGGUUAUACAGGUCCGCUGUGAAAACUGGAGGCUUAACCUCCAGACGUCGGUGGAAACCGUAUAACUAGAGUCCGGAAGAGGAGAGUGGAAUUCCUGGUGUAGCGGUGAAAUGCGCAGAUAUCAGGAAGAACACCCGUGGCGAAGGCGGCUCUCUGGGACGGUACUGACGCUGAGACGCGAAAGCGUGGGGAGCGAAC